Molecule: ribosomal RNA, 253 nt
Filed under: uncultured bacterium
Lineage: Bacteria
Description: partial 16S ribosomal RNA
Rfam family: Bacterial small subunit ribosomal RNA
Source: RNAcentral
UACGUAGGGGGCAAGCGUUAUCCGGAUUUACUGGGUGUAAAGGGAGCGUAGACGGCAUAGCAAGUCUGAAGUGAAGGCCCGUGGCUCAACCGCGGAACUGCUUUGGAAACUGUUAAGCUGGAGUACUGGAGAGGCAAGCGGAAUUCCUAGUGUAGCGGUGAAAUGCGUAGAUAUUAGGAGGAACACCAGUGGCGAAGGCGGCUUGCUGGACAGAGACUGACGUUGAGGCUCGAAAGCGUGGGGAGCAAACAGG